AUGACGGACUACAGAUCAGGGCUGCUGUUUUCUAUCAUCUGCUUUACAGGUGUUUAUUGUCAGAGUCUGACAGAAUCUGAGCCAGUGGUAAAAAGACCAGGAGAGUCUCACAGAUUGACCUGUACAGCAUCUGGAUUCACAUUCAGCAGCUACUGGAUGGCCUGGAUCAGACAGGCACCUGGGAAGGGACUGGAAUGGCUUGCUGAGAUCAAUGAUGGUGGUGGUAGCACAUACUACUCUCAGUCAGUCCAAGGCAGGUUUACCAUCUCCAGAGACAACAGCAAAAAUCAGCUCUAUCUGCAGAUCAAUCAAUCAAUCAAUCAA
This is a non-coding RNA of Cyprinodon tularosa, 324 nucleotides long. The record is from the annotation of a RefSeq genome assembly. Lineage: Eukaryota; Metazoa; Chordata; Actinopteri; Cyprinodontiformes; Cyprinodontidae.